GAUGAACGCUAGCGGCAGGCUUAACACAUGCAAGUCGAGGGGUAACAUUGUUGCUUGCAACAGAUGACGACCGGCGCACGGGUGCGUAACGCGUAUAGAACUUACCUUUUACAGGGGGAUAGCCUUUAGAAAUGAAGAUUAAUAUCCCAUAAUAUUGAGAAUUGGCAUCAAUUUUUAAUUAAAGAUUUAUCGGUAAAAGAUAGCUAUGCGUCCUAUUAGCUAGAUGGUAAGGUAAUGGCUUACCAUGGCAACGAUAGGUAGGGGUCCUGAGAGGGAGAUCCCCCACACUGGUACUGAGACACGGACCAGACUCCUACGGGAGGCAGCAGUGAGGAAUAUUGGGCAAUGGAGGCAACUCUGACCCAGCCAUGCCGCGUGCAGGAGACUGCCCUAU
Molecule: ribosomal RNA, 394 nt
Filed under: uncultured bacterium
Lineage: Bacteria
Description: bacterial SSU rRNA
Rfam family: Bacterial small subunit ribosomal RNA
Source: RNAcentral